Molecule: ribosomal RNA, 318 nt
Filed under: uncultured eukaryote
Lineage: Eukaryota
Description: partial 18S ribosomal RNA
Rfam family: Eukaryotic small subunit ribosomal RNA
Source: RNAcentral
CCCUUAGAUGUCCUGGGCCGCACGCGUGCUACACUGAUGCAUACAGCGAGUACUUUCCGGCUCCGCGAGGCAGCUGGUAAUCAGCAAUAUGCAUCGUGCUGGGGAUAGAUCUUUGGAAUUAUAGAUCUUGAACGAGGAAUUCCUAGUAAGCGCAAGUCAUUAGCUUGCGCUGAUUAAGUCCCUGCCCUUUGUACACACCGCCCGUCGCUCCUACCGAUUUCGAGUGAUUCGGUGAACCUUUUGGACAGCGUCUGUCCUCGUGUCAGAUGCUGAAAGUCAAGUAAACCAUAUCACUUAGAGGAAGGAGAAGUCGUAACA